Molecule: ribosomal RNA, 497 nt
Filed under: uncultured bacterium
Lineage: Bacteria
Description: partial 16S ribosomal RNA
Rfam family: Bacterial small subunit ribosomal RNA
Source: RNAcentral
GAUGAACGCUGGCGGCGUGCCUAAUACAUGCCAGUCGAGCGAACAGACGAGGAGCUUGCUCCUCUGACGUUAGCGGCGGACGGGUGAGUAACACGUGGAUAACCUACCUAUAAGACUGGGAUAACUUCGGGAAACCGGAGCUAAUACCGGAUAAUAUAUUGAACCGCAUGGUUCAAUAGUGAAAGACGGUUUUGCUGUCACUUAUAGAUGGAUCCGCGCCGCAUUAGCUAGUUGGUAAGGUAACGGCUUACCAAGGCGACGAUGCGUAGCCGACCUGAGAGGGUGAUCGGCCAGACUGGAACUGAGACACGGUCCAGACUCCUACGGGAGGCAGCAGUAGGGAAUCUUCCGCAAUGGGCGAAAGCCUGACGGAGCAACGCCGCGUGAGUGAUGAAGGUCUUCGGAUCGUAAAACUCUGUUAUUAGGGAAGAACAAAUGUGUAAGUAACUAUGCACGUCUUGACGGUACCUAAUCAGAAAGCCACGGCUAACUACGUG